AUUGAACGCUGGCGGUAUGCUUAAGACAUGCAAGUCGAACGGUAACAGACCUUCGGGUGCUGACGAGUGGCGGACGGGUGAGUAACACGUGGGAAUCUACCUUGUAGUGGGGGAUAAGCCAGGGAAACUUGGACUAAUACCGCAUACGCCCUAAGGGGGAAAGGAGCAAUUCGCUAUAAGAUGAGCCCGCGUCUGAUUAGCUAGUUGGUGAGGUAAAGGCUCACCAAGGCGACGAUCAGUAGCUGGUCUGAGAGGAUGACCAGCCACAUUGGGACUGAGACACGGCCCAGACUCCUACGGGAGGCAGCAGUCGGGAAUAUUGGACAAUGGGGGCAACCCUGAUCCAGCAAUACCGCGUGUGUGAAGAAGGCCUGCGGGUUGUAAAGCACUUUUAGUAGGGAAGAUAAUGACGUUACCUACAGAAAAAGACACCGGCUAACUCCGUGCCAGCAGCCGCGGUAAAGUGACGCU
RNAcentral lists this ribosomal RNA (471 nucleotides) under uncultured bacterium. RNAcentral's name for it is "bacterial SSU rRNA". It matches the Rfam family "Bacterial small subunit ribosomal RNA", at positions 30 to 532 of the family's 1533-position model. The record is from RNAcentral.